GUGAAAUUGUUGAAAGGGAAACGAUUGAAGUCAGUCAUGCUAGUGGGGAAUCAACUUGAUGGUGUGUGGGUUCUCUCGCAUACUUUCCGGUGCACUUCCUUACUCGGCAGGUUAGCAUCAAUUUCGGUUAUCAUAAAAAAUUUGAGGGAAUGUGACUUUUUUCGGAAAAGUGUUAUAGACCUUGAUCUAUGUGGUGACCGGGAUUGAGGAUUGCAGCGGAUACCCUCGUGGCUCGUCACCUGGCUUCUAACGGUUAUCCCGCUUUCGACAGCUCGCUAACGUUAGUGUGGGGGACUCGAUUGUCUAGAUGUCAGAGUGAUUGAUUUUCGCUAAGGAUGCUGACGUAAUGGCUUUAAACGAC
Molecule: ribosomal RNA, 361 nt
Filed under: uncultured Acaulospora
Lineage: Eukaryota; Fungi; Glomeromycota; Glomeromycetes; Diversisporales; Acaulosporaceae
Description: partial 28S ribosomal RNA
Source: RNAcentral